GAAUGUGGCCAGGAAUGUGAGACAGAAUGUGGCUCAGGAUUUCAAAAUUCACUGGAAAAAAACUCACAAAACAGAAACAUUUCAGUGGAAAUAACAGAGUCCUAUAUUAUGAUUUAGACAACAAGAAUUCUUGCCUCUGAUCUAUUGUGACCAAGUGUGUCAUCUUAGGGAGGUAUGGUCGUGAAGAGCACCGAUUACAGAAGGAGAAUUGCAACUGCUUUGCACCAAAGACAAGAGGCCAAAAGAAAGGCAUUCCUCAUCUUGAAAGCCUAGUUUUGAAAUCCCAGAGCCAAAAUUUGGACCCAAAGUGAUAGAUUUUUGAAAGCCUGCAUGUUGAAGACAAAAAAGUCCAUAUAGCCAGCACCUUCAAGAAGCAGAAGAUGAGUUUCUGAAGACAGAAGACCAUGUCUCAUUCAUCUGAACAUCUCCAGAACCUAACACAGAAUUAUUCUUAAAAAAUAUUUGUCAAAGUGAAUUACAGUCAUUCCUAGAGCCCUUAACUGGGUUAAACCCCUUUAGUGACAUGUGGAUUAUAGACUUUCCAAAUUUUAAGGAACUGUACUAUACCAUAUAAAUAGCACCAUUGGCCAUGCUUACCAUAUGAUCCAAUAGGUUGCACAGUGAAGCUCUGUAGUAUGCUCUUGCUAUGUGAUUUUUUUUAAUUUUACUUUAAGUUCCAGAAUACAAGUGCAGAACAUGCAGGUUUGUUACAUAGGUAUACAUGUGCCAUAGUGGUUUGCUGCACCUAUCAACACAUCAUUCUAGGUUUUAAGCCCCACAUGUAUUAGCUAUUUGUCCUAAUGCUCUCCCUCCCCUUGCCCCUCACCCCCCGCCACUGGCCCCUGUAUGUGCUGUUCCCCUCCCUGUGUCCAUGUGUUCUCAUUGUUCAACUCCCACUUAUGAGAACAUGCAGUGUUUGGUUGCUACGUGGUAUUUUUGAGGAGAAAAUAGUAAUAUAUUUUUUAAAACGGACUCUAAAAGCAGGGUUAUGUACUCUCAAGCUGAAGAUUUAAAUCACACACGAAGUCAUUAAUUUUUAAAAAUGCUUUUCAUCCAUUUUCUUGGCAGUCAGAGAAAACCUACUGCAGAAGCAGCCAUUGGGAACCAUUGCCUGGCCUAUGCAGCUAUGUAGCAAUAUUUUGUGAGCUAUCUUUCUUUAUAACUUGUCCCAGAAUAGACCUGUUUUGCCUGAGACUGGGCAAACCAACUGAAAGGAUUCAAAGUCUCUCAAAUCCCAGAUAUUAUAUGUUAUUUGUGGUUGCACGAGGUGUGCAGUCUGGGAAAUUUUGACUUAAUUAGAAACAGGAAGAAAACCUAGCUGGGGACUGGAAAGGAAUUUUCCAUUAUUGGGCAUCUAUUCUGUGUCCAGCAUUGUGCUGGGGGACAUUCAAGCAUGUUAUUUAAUUUAAUUCUGAUAUAAACCUUAAAUGAGACAAACAUUGUUACAGGAAAUUUUUUAGGAACAAAGAAGUUAAAUGACAUACAAGAUCACUGCUGCACAUUGGGUUUCUUGGAAGCAGACUUUGAGAUGGAGAUUUGUGAUCAGAAAAUUUGUUAGGGAAUAUUCUCAGGCUCAGCAUCUGGAGGGGAAGAGCAAGAGGCAGGACAGGCAGAGGGAGAAGCUGGGCUUCAGUGUGGUUCCAAUAAGGCCUCAGCUUAUCUGAUAGAGAGCCCUAGAGCUGUCAUGACCCUUAAGAGAUGUUCUGAGUUGGGAUGAGGGGACUGGAAUUUUACGCUCUCAUGUCAGCCAGUUGGAUGAAGUCUGAAGCAAUUGUAGCACCUGGGGGGAAGUAAGUUCUUCAGUCCUGAAUAGAGAUCAGAGCAACAUAUCACAGAGUCUGCUAUAGUCAACCAGCCUGGAAGUAACAAAGCUAGCAUAUGAAUACAGCUUUGACUUCAAAGCUCAUGCACUUUUCCACUCACUUGAGUCAAUAGGCAAUCAGCCAGUUAAGUACCCAUACAUUUUACCAUUUUAGAAAAGGGCAAAUAAUUAAUAAUAAUAAUAAUUUGCAUCCUGGUUUUGGAAAUAUGGCCUUGGUGUCUUGACAUCAUGAAAAUUCUCCAAAUUUUAUAUAGAUAAUUCAACCUUGGAUCUAUUAUCAUCUUUUAUGAUAAACACCUUUUUUAAAAUUAUUCACAAAAAUUUCCUUACUUCUUAAACUAGGUUCAACUAAAACAAUAUGCUGAAGACUUAAAACAUACUGAAUCUAAGUUGAUUCAUUAUAUAACUUCCAAAUGUUUCAUCUUAGAAUUCAGGAAUAAUUUAAUAGCAUAACUUGUGCCAGAUGUGUGGCAUUCAUUUUUAAAUAUUUUUGAUUCACCUAAGACCUAAUAGCUAAGGACAGAUAUUGGUUUAGAACUCCCAGGAGAAAAAAUGCACAGGAACUCAGAAAGCCUUAAUGAAAUGCAUGUGCUCCUCAUCUUGAUAUGGAAAUCCAAAAAGUGUAGCUAAAAUCUAUCAGCCAUGUUCUUCAACUUGUACGUUGUCAUGAUUGAGCUGAUGUAAAACCCAUGGCAGAUAAAGCAUUCAUCCAUUCAACAAACAUGUAACAGAGGACCUAUGGUAUGCAAGGAUCAGUGUUUAGUACUCUAAGCAUCCUACCCAUGACUUCACUCUUCCAAGAAAUUUGGUCUGCUUUCCAGCUGCAUCAUAACAGCAUCUUUUUCCUGCCUUGUUUUAAAGCAAGCAAUCAUUCUAUGUAACAAGUAAAACCAAAUAUCCUCGUCAACUGCCUUCACAUGCAAAUUUUCCUCAGCUUAUGAUGGGGUUACAGCCUGAUAAAUCCUUCAUAAGUUGAAAAUACCGUAAGUUGAAAAUAUAUUUAAUAUGUCUAACCUGCUGAACAUGAUAGCUUAGCCUAGCCUAUGUUAAAUGUUAUCAGAACACUCCCAUUAGCUUACAGUUGGGCAAAAUCAUCUAACACAAAGCCUAUUUCAUGAUAAAGUGUUGAAUAUAUCAUGUAAUUUAUUGAAUACUGUACUGAAAGUGAAAAACAGAAUGCUUGUGUAGGCACGUGAAAUACAGUUUCUACUGAAUGCAUAUUGCUUUCAGCACCAUGGUAAAGUAAAAAAAUCAUAAAUCAAGGGCCCUCUGUAUAUGUACAAUUAUUAUAGAUUUGGAUGGUAUAAAAUUUUGCAAUUUGUGUUUAGGAAAAUCAAAAGUACUGGCAUUUUUGUUCUUUCUCCCUUUCAAGCUAGUAUGAGAAAAAAAGCAAGUAAUGUAUUCCAAAGUGUACACUGAAAAAGACUGAGAUUAUUUAAGGACAUCUGAAAAGAUUUUUCACUUACAUAUGGCAUUAUAUCAUAAUUUAGGUCUGCCCUCUACCACAUUAUUGCUGCCCCAGGCACUGAAAUGUUUUCUUUCCUGUAGUGCAGUGGUUCUCAUAGUGUGGUUCCCAGACCAGCAGGUAUCAAUGUCACCUGAAAACUUAUUAGAAAUGCAAAUUAUUGGAUCCCUCCCCAGAUCUACUAAAUCAGAAACUCUGGGGGUGGGGCUCAGCAAUACGUGUGUUAAUAAGUUGUGCAUAAUUUUCAUGCAUGCUAAAGUUUCAGAACCAUGGUUUUAAGGUUAUAUAUUAAAUCAUGUUUUUCAAUUUCCAUUCAAUAAAUGUUUAUUUGGGGUCAUGUAAUAAGUGCUACACAUUAUUCAACCUUUGCCAAUGGCACUCAUGCAUCAUAUACAGUUUUUAAAAUAUAUUUAUGUCCAUUUUUAGCAUGAUAUUACAUAUCAUGUAUGCUGGGCACAAUCGUGUUUUCUCAAGCUCACCAGGUGAUUUUGAUGCACUCUCAAGCUUGAGAAGUACACUGUAACUCAUUAUCCAUUAGUCCUGGCCAAAACAGAAACCUGGUAUAAGCCACAGCAAUAAGUAGGAAUGUUGUACUCAUCUUUAAAGACAAGAGGCAAACAAAGAUCUAAGAAUUCUUGGCAGCACAGAGCAUCUUGCUGCAUUUUCAGGCAAUGAAGUCUAUCAGCUAAAGUAGUGGAUUCUGCAUAAGAACACAUGGGUUUGAGUCUUGGUUCUUUGACCUCCUGGCUGUAACUUCUUAGGAGGUCAUUUAAUCUUCAUCAUAAUUUGUUUCCUCAUCUAUGAAAAUAGGACUUUGCCUUGGAGAUCUCUAUGGUGACUUUCAGCUCUAAGUUCUGUGAUUCCAAGCAUCUCAAUCAAUAUGUAUAUUAUUAUCAUUUUGGAGACGACCAUAUUACCAUUUGUUUCCACUUCAUGCUACUACUUAAAAGCAUAUCAAAAAUCUCUUAUAACUCAAUAAGAGAAAGGGCAAUUAAAAAAUGAGUAAAAGAUCUGAGUAGACAUUUAUCCAAAUAAGAUAAUAUACAAAUGGAAAAUAACCAUAUGAAAAGAUGCUCAACAGACAGACAGAGAAGAAGGAUGGUUACCAGAGCCUGGGAACGGUACUGGGGGCUAGAGGAGAGCUAGCGAUGAUUAAUGGGUACAAAAAAGAGUUAGAAAGAAUGAAUAAGGUCUACUAUUUGAUAAGCACAAUAAAGUGACUAUGGUCAGCAAUAACAAUUGUACAUUUUAAAAAUAAUGAAUGUAACUGGAUUGUUUGUAACUCGAAGGAUAAAUACUUGAGGGGAUGGAUACUCCAUUCUUCAUGACAUGCUUAUUUCACAUUGCAUGCCUGUAUCAAAACAUCUCAUGUACCCCAUAAAUAUAUACACCCACUAUGUACCCACAAAAAAAUUUAAAAAUUAAAAAAAAAUUUUAAAGAUGCUCAACAUUAUUAUCAUCAGAUAAAUGCCAUUCAAAACCACAACGAGAUACCACUUCAUACCCCUUAGAAUGACUAAAAUAAAAAAGACUGACAAUAACACGUGUUGUGGAGGAUGUGGGAAGAACUCAGAAUCCCAAUACAUAGCUAGUGGGAUUGUAAAAUUAUGCAGCUGCUUAGAAAACAGUUUAGCAAUUCCUCAGUUAAACAUAGACGUUCUACAUAACCCAACAGUUCUACUUCUAGAUGUAUACCCAAGAGAAUUGAAAACAUUAAGUUAAAAAAGUUCUACACAAAUGUUCAUAGCAACACUAUUCACAGCAGCUAAAACGUGGAAACAAUACAAACAUCUAUCAAUGAUGAAUGGGUAAAUAAAAUGUGGUCUUACCCAUACAAUAGAACAUUCUUCAAUAAUAAAAAGAAUGAUAUAUGAAUACACAUUACAAUAUGGAUGAACCUCCAAAAUGUACUAAUUGAGAGAAGACAGUCACAAAAACUACAUAUUUUAUGAUUCCAUAUUUAUGAAGUGUCCAGAAGAGGCAAAUCCAUAGACACAGAAAGUAGUUUCCUGGUUACCUAGGGCUGGAAACACUUUGGGGAAGUGGAGGAGGGGUGUGAUUGCUAAAGGGUAUAGGUUUCUUUUGAGAUGCUGAAAAUAUUCUGAAAUUAAUUGUGGUGACAGUCGCACAAUUUUGCAAAUAUACUGAAAAUCAUUAAAUUAUGCUAAAAAUGGGUGAGCUGUAUGGUAUGUAAAUUAGAUCUCAAUAAAGCUGUUACAAAGAAA
Homo sapiens (human) is the source of this 5512-nucleotide long non-coding RNA. RefSeq lists it as uncharacterized. NCBI's taxonomy places the organism in Eukaryota, Metazoa, Chordata, Mammalia, Primates, Hominidae. The record is from RefSeq and is a predicted model, not a curated record. The transcript has 3 exons.